AGAGUUUGAUCAUGGCUCAGGAUGAACGCUAGCUACAGGCUUAACACAUGCAAGUCGAGGGGCAGCACAGUGUAGCAAUACAUGGGUGGCGACCGGCGCACGGGUGCGUAACGCGUAUCCAACCUUCCCGUUACUCUUGGAUAGCCUUCCGAAAGGGAGAUUAAUACAAGAUGGUAUUCUAAUUCCGCAUGUUAUUUGAAUUAAAGAUUUAUCGGUAACGGAUGGGGAUGCGUGACAUUAGAUAGUAGGCGGGGUAACGGCCCACCUAGUCUACGAUGUCUAGGGGUUCUGAGAGGAAGGUCCCCCACACUGGAACUGAGACACGGUCCAGACUCCUACGGGAGGCAGCAGUGAGGAAUAUUGGUCAAUGGUCGGAAGACUGAACCAGCCAAGUAGCGUGAAGGAUGAAGGUUCUAUGGAUUGUAAACUUCUUUUAUACGGGAAUAAAACCUCCCACGUGUGGGAGCUUGUAUGUACCGUAUGAAUAAGCAUCGGCUAACUCCGUGCCAGCAGCCGCGGUAAUACGGAGGAUGCGAGCGUUAUCCGGAUUUAUUGGGUUUAAAGGGAGCGUAGACGGGAUGUUAAGUCAGUUGUGAAAGGCUGCGGCUCAACCGCAGCACUGCAGUUGAUACUGGCGUCCUUGAGUGCGGUUGAGGUAUGUGGAAUUCGUGGUGUAGCGGUGAAAUGCUUAGAUAUCACGAAGAACUCCGAUUGCGAAGGCAGCAUACUAAGCCGCUACUGACGUUGAGGCUCGAAAGUGUGGGUAUCAAACAGGAUUAGAUACCCUGGUAGUCC
RNAcentral lists this ribosomal RNA (795 nucleotides) under uncultured bacterium. Its description in RNAcentral is "bacterial SSU rRNA". It matches the Rfam family "Bacterial small subunit ribosomal RNA", at positions 8 to 796 of the family's 1533-position model. The record is from RNAcentral.